GGGUUGUGAGGUUAAGCGACUAAGCGUACACGGUGGAUGCCCUGGCAGUCAGAGGCGAUGAAGGGCGUGCUAAUCUGCGAUAAGCGCCGGUAAGGUGAUAUGAACCGUUAUAACCGGCGAUACCCGAAUGGGGAAACCCAGUGUGAUUCGUCACACUAUCAUUAACUGAAUCCAUAGGUUAAUGAGGCGAACCGGGGGAACUGAAACAUCUAAGUACCCCGAGGAAAAGAAAUCAACCGAGAUUCCCCCAGUAGCGGCGAGCGAACGGGGAGGAGCCCAGAGCCUGAAUCAGCAUGUGUGUUAGUGGAAGCGUCUGGAAAGGCGCGCGAUACAGGGUGACAGCCCCGUACACAAAAGCGCAUGUGCUGUGAGCUCGAUGAGUAGGGCGGGACACGUGGUAUCCUGUCUGAAUAUGGGGGGACCAUCCUCCAAGGCUAAAUACUCCUGACUGACCGAUAGUGAACCAGUACCGUGAGGGAAAGGCGAAAAGAACCCCGGCGAGGGGAGUGAAAAAGAACCUGAAACCGUGUACGUACAAGCAGUGGGAGCACCCUUUUGGGUGUGACUGCGUACCUUUUGUAUAAUGGG
Molecule: ribosomal RNA, 588 nt
Filed under: Salmonella enterica subsp. enterica serovar Braenderup
Lineage: Bacteria; Pseudomonadati; Pseudomonadota; Gammaproteobacteria; Enterobacterales; Enterobacteriaceae
Description: partial 23S ribosomal RNA
Rfam family: Bacterial large subunit ribosomal RNA
Source: RNAcentral